CUCCCACAAGAUCCACAGCAUCAAACAAGUUGUCUCCUCCAUAAGUCCGGUCAUUCGAAGAGAAUUUCAAGACAAAAGUUUGGACAAAAAAGCCUAAUGCUCUCCAAUGGAUUUUCUUGUCCUGCCCUGACAUAAGCUUGGAGGAUGAAAUGCACUAUCUCAGUUCUCAUUAUAUUGGUGUUUGUGCAACGUCAAGAAUGUGGCAGAUUUUGCUUCAGUGCAGCCAAGGCUUAUAUGCAGACUAGUUACCAUAAAACGGAAAGAAAAAAGGGCUUGUUAGCACAUGACAAGAUCGUUAGAGAUUCAAUUUCUGGGGGCAUAAUCUUCCAUCCAGACUAACAAAUAAGGGGAGAAAACAACUCGUCUCGCAAGUGAAUGAGAGUUACAAUGCCUACGUACAUGAGAAACACUUAAAGCUAGGAAAAAAGAUGCAAGGUACUGCACGUCAUUCGCAAUAUGACCAAAUUGUGCAAGGAAACUGCAGCCACUCUCAAGAGCAUUGAUGAGGAACUCAGAGUCUCCUUCCAAGAUAACCCGGUCGACACCAAUUUCC
This is a long non-coding RNA of Quercus lobata, 553 nucleotides long. RefSeq lists it as uncharacterized. The record is from RefSeq and is a predicted model, not a curated record. NCBI's taxonomy places the organism in Eukaryota, Viridiplantae, Streptophyta, Magnoliopsida, Fagales, Fagaceae. The transcript has 4 exons.